AAAUGACAUCAAAAUGACAUACAUUAUAUGCAUAAUCAUAUCAAAAAAUUAUACAACUAACAUACAAAAUUAUUGUGCACUAGAUUCAUUAUUCUGAAGGAAGCAAGAUGCACAACGUGACCAUACGUUUUUUGGUGUAUUGUCUCUUAACACCUAUAAUUUCAAUUAAUAAUACUUGUUAGUAUAACACUUGUUGGCACACAUGUAUAAACUCUUAUAAUUUAUAUCAAAAAAUAAUUAUGAAUAAAGAAUAAAAAAUAUUUAUUUUUUCUGUUUUCUCAUAUGCCUUCUUCAUGAUAAUAACGAAUAACACACACAUCACCUAUAUCAACUUUUUCAUAUGAAGUAGGCACAUGUGUUGCAAAAGAAGGUGUCUUAGGAAUAUCAAAAUUUAAAUAUUGAUUCUCAUCACUAUGAGGAAUGUAUUUUUCUUAGAGAACAGUUGAUCAUCUUUUUUAAUAAGAUUUAGUGACAUAAAAUACUUGUUUUGCUUGAAAUGUCAUGUAGAAUGGUUCGAUCAUAUAAGUUGUCUUGCCAAGGUUAACCCGUGUAAUUCAAGGAAUUCAAGAACUCAUUUCCUAUACACCAUACCUAACCUAUUAGACUUCAUCCAACUACGAUCAAUAAUACAUUCUGAAAUUCAUGUCAAAUUCUUCUAAAAUCAUUUAACAAUACAACAACAAUAUUCUCAUAAACACAAUAACAAUGUAAAUACAACAACUUACUAAGUCACUUUUCAACAAUAUAGAAAAAUAGUAUAUAGCAAUAAUACAACAAUACAACAACACAAUAACAAUAAAACAAAUACAACAACAAUAUAAAACAUUCUCAACAACACAAAGACUAUCUCAAUCUCACUCAAUCACAACAACAUAUAACAUUAAACAAUAACAACAACAAAAACACAAUAACAUUCAACAUUAAAACUCUAGGUUUUAGGGUCUCAAGAACAACAAUAACAAUAAUAAUGUAACAUUAACAUUGAUGAAAUGUUUCAUGUACCAUAAAGGUAAAGAAGAGUCAAAACCGAGUUUUGUGAUCCCUUCUUGUGAGAUUUGACUUUCCUUUCACUACUAAAAAUAUUAUAUUUUAUGAAAAAACUUUUACGUCAUCCAACAAAAAGCUGAGGUAAAAUUCCAUGACACGCUAUGUUAUUUUUUUUUCAAGAAAUUAUCAUCUAUUCUCUCGGUUUAAGAAAAAACUGAGGGGUAAACUAAUUUAAGGUACAUGCUUUGAGUCCCGGUAACUAAAAUUUUUGUUUUUUUUUCUUUAAAAGUGACACAUUUCUUAUUAUUUAAGAUUUUAUCUUAUUAUUAAAUAUUAUAUUCUCUCUGUUUCUCAAAUAAUCGAGGGGUAUCAUACAUAAGUUUUACUAUAAAAGGAUUUUGUCACUAAGUUUUACCCUAAACCUAACUCACAAGUUCAGCUGCUCCAUACUCUUAAACAUCAUUAUGUCUGAUGGAUUGCUAGACAAAAAAAUUAGGUUAUAUGUUAUUGUUCUUCUUACACCAACCUUUAACAAAUCAUUUAUUUAUUCUAGCAAUCUAUCUCACCUAAUGUUGUUGUUGUUAUUCUUCUUCUUUUUGUUCACACCAAUAUUUAAUGGAAUAACUUUCCAAUGUUGUUAAUCAAAGAAAACUUUCUAUAAUAUAUAUUGAUUUCUUCGAUUGACAACAUUGAGAAUUUUAUUCUUAAUCAGAUUGCAACACAUAAAGAAAUUGAUCAAUGAUAAAAAAAAUUAAAAGGAAACAAUACAUGUUACUUCAAUUUUUUCCCAUUCACCAUUUCUUUUGGCAAUAGAAGUCAUUUAUUACCUUGAUUCUUUUAGAAAUCGGGGUUAAAAGUAUCAAAUUUAUUGUAAUUUUUAUUUUAAAAGAUUUUUUUACCUCGAGUUUAAUUUACAAUCAAAGGGUAAAAUAAGGGUGUUUAUUGAGUUAAAAGUACCAAAUAAGGAUUUUUUUUACCUUAAACAAAUUUGUGUCGUCCAUUUAGUGAGUAUCAACACUUAAGACAUUGACAUUAGUGAUCAACGUGAAACCUAAAAGACAUCAAUUCAGAAGGCUCAUGCCACAUUAUAAAAGCAUUUUGAAUAUAAAAAAUUGAUCAUGAAAGCAUUUGUUAUGAAAACAUUGAAACUUAUUUAUUUUAUAUCAGAAAUAUUGAAACAAUGCUCUCUAUGAUGGAUUGAAAGAGCAAAAAAAUAUUUGGGUUUAAGGUUUGUAUUCUUAAUAAUCAUAUAACUUAAUAUUUUUAAUUUAUUUAUCUAACCCCUUUUUUAUUUUAUAUUAAAAACAAAUGCAUGAAAUAUCAAACAUUUCAUCUUCUCCAAAAUUCAAUGAAAUGAUGAUCCAUCAUGUGUUCUUCGCCUACACUGAUGGCAAUGGAUCAGAUUCAUAAUUUGUUAUAUAAGUUUACUUUAAUAUUCUGUGUAAACAAUAUAAUUUGUAAAUAAUUUAAUUUAAUAUUAUAUGUAAAUAAUGUAAUUGGUAUUUUUAAAAAGUUAUUUUUUUCUUGGUUUUGGUCAUAAACUGAGAGGUACAUGACGCUAGUUUUAAAACUCUAAAAAUAUUGAUGUUGAAGAACAAACCAAUGACUAUUUCAACUAUCCCCUCGGUUAUUCAGAAACUGAUGGAUAAAUUGGCAAGUUUUCAUGAUAUUCUUCGUUAUCUCGCUUGUAUAACAUGUAUUUUUUGUAGUAGUGUUUUCUUGAUUUGUACCGGAUAUGAUUGAGGUUAUCGAAGAAAUGAGUUUAGUGAAUAUGGAUUUUUGCUAGGGAGUUGUUCUAGUCUUAAGGGUUUUCGCUUAAGGUGAUGUUCAGUUAUGGGGGAAAUAAAUUUUAGCUUUUUAUUUUCAAUUAAAAAGGAAUACGUUUCACCAUGGUACUCAAAAUAACUGUGGUGAUAAUGGUCUAAUUAUUUUUUUUAUAUAAAGACUCAACAUGUUCAUUCACCUUUUCACUAAUCCUAACUUAUUCGACCUUCAAACUUCGUCUUCGAAUCUUCUUGCAUUGUUGUAUCAUGAUCCUAUAGGUUUAGGAUUUAAAGAUACUAAAUUA
RNAcentral lists this long non-coding RNA (3055 nucleotides) under Lathyrus oleraceus (garden pea). RNAcentral describes it as "Pisum sativum (pea) long non-coding RNA (PSAT_LNC039293)". Lineage: Eukaryota; Viridiplantae; Streptophyta; Magnoliopsida; Fabales; Fabaceae. The record is from RNAcentral.